AUUGAACGCUGGCGGCAUGCCUUACACAUGCAAGUCGAACGGCAGCACGGGAGCAAUCCUGGUGGCGAGUGGCGAACGGGUGAGUAAAGUAUCGGAACGUGCCCAGUCGUGGGGGACAACGUAGCGAAAGUUACGCUAAUACCGCAUACGAUCUAUGGAUGAAAGCGGGGGAUCGCAAGACCUUGCGCGAUUGGAGCGGCCGAUAUCAGAUUAGGUAGUUGGUGGGGUAAAGGCUCACCAAGCCGACGAUCUGUAGCUGGUCUGAGAGGACGACCAGCCACACUGGGACUGAGACACGGCCCAGACUCCUACGGGAGGCAGCAGUGGGGAAUUUUAGACAAUGGGCGAAAGCCUGAUCCAGCCAUGCCGCGUGCAGGAUGAAGGCCUUCGGGUUGUAAACUGCUUUUGUACGGAACGAAAAGGUUUGGCCUAAUAAGCUGAGCUCAUGACGGUACCGUAAGAAUAAGCACCGGCUAACUACGUGCCAGCAGCCGCAGUAA
This 500-nucleotide ribosomal RNA is filed under the name uncultured bacterium. RNAcentral's name for it is "partial 16S ribosomal RNA". It matches the Rfam family "Bacterial small subunit ribosomal RNA", at positions 30 to 523 of the family's 1533-position model. The record is from RNAcentral.